AAAAAUUUCAAACGUAAGGUUCGUAUAUUCCUGGGAAUAAGGCUCAGAAGUCUCUACCAAGCAACCGUAAAUUGCUUGACUACGAAACGUCACGUAUCAUUG
RNAcentral lists this non-coding RNA (102 nucleotides) under Desulfuribacillus stibiiarsenatis. RNAcentral describes it as "Purine riboswitch aptamer". It matches the Rfam family "Purine riboswitch aptamer". From Rfam's summary of the family: Riboswitches are metabolite binding domains within certain messenger RNAs that serve as precision sensors for their corresponding targets. Allosteric rearrangement of mRNA structure is mediated by ligand binding, and this results in modulation of gene expression. Lineage: Bacteria; Bacillati; Bacillota; Desulfuribacillia; Desulfuribacillales; Desulfuribacillaceae. The record is from Rfam by way of RNAcentral. RNAcentral also lists the same sequence under 1 other name.